Molecule: ribosomal RNA, 115 nt
Filed under: uncultured bacterium
Lineage: Bacteria
Description: partial 16S ribosomal RNA
Rfam family: Bacterial small subunit ribosomal RNA
Source: RNAcentral
CACACCGCCCGUCACACCAUGGGAGUCGGUAACACCCGAAGUCAGUAGUCUAACCGCAAGGAGGACGCUGCCGAAGGUGGGAUUGACGACUGGGGUGAAGUCGUAACAAGGUACC